Molecule: ribosomal RNA, 624 nt
Filed under: bacterium SL1.11
Lineage: Bacteria
Description: bacterial SSU rRNA
Rfam family: Bacterial small subunit ribosomal RNA
Source: RNAcentral
UGCAGUCGAGCGCAGGAGCAGGCUGAUCCCUUCGGGGUGACGCCUGUGGAAUGAGCGGCGGACGGGUGAGUAACACGUGGGCAACCUGCCUUACAGACUGGGAUAACUCCGGGAAACCGGGGCUAAUACCGGAUGACCAGAAGAACUGCAUGGUUCUUCUGUAAAAGUUGGGACUUGUUCCUAACACUGUGAGAUGGGCCCGCGGCGCAUUAGCUAGUUGGUGAGGUAACGGCUCACCAAGGCGACGAUGCGUAGCCGACCUGAGAGGGUGAUCGGCCACACUGGAACUGAGACACGGUCCAGACUCCUACGGGAGGCAGCAGUAGGGAAUCAUCCGCAAUGGGCGAAAGCCUGACGGUGCAACGCCGCGUGAACGAUGAAGGUCUUCGGAUUGUAAAGUUCUGUUGUCAGGGAAGAACACGUGCCGUUCGAACAGGGCGGCACCUUGACGGUACCUGACCAGAAAGCCCCGGCUAACUACGUGCCAGCAGCCGCGGUAAUACGUAGGGGGCAAGCGUUGUCCGGAAUUAUUGGGCGUAAAGCGCGCGCAGGCGGUCUCUUAAGUCUGAUGUGAAAGCCCACGGCUCAACCGUGGAGGGUCAUUGGAAACUGGGGGACUUGAGU